AGUGAACUACGUUUGUAGCGGCAUCCUUUUUAUUUGAACAUUGAGGUUCUCGAAAUGACCAAAUAAAAAGAUACAGCGGAUAGCCCGAGCCUUG
This 94-nucleotide small RNA is filed under the name Flavobacterium cauense R2A-7. RNAcentral describes it as "Flavo-1 RNA". Lineage: Bacteria; Pseudomonadati; Bacteroidota; Flavobacteriia; Flavobacteriales; Flavobacteriaceae. The record is from RNAcentral.